RNAcentral lists this ribosomal RNA (468 nucleotides) under uncultured bacterium. RNAcentral's name for it is "partial 16S ribosomal RNA". It matches the Rfam family "Bacterial small subunit ribosomal RNA", at positions 28 to 507 of the family's 1533-position model. The record is from RNAcentral.
GACGAACGCUGGCGGCGUGCUUAACACAUGCAAGUCGAACGGAAAGGCCCUGCUUUUGUGGGGUGCUCGAGUGGCGAACGGGUGAGUAACACGUGAGUAACCUGCCCUUGACCUUGGGAUAACUUCACGAAACUGGGGCUAAUACCGGAUAGGAGCCACUGCUGCAUGGAGGGGGUUGGAAAGUUUCGGCGGUUGGGGAUGGACUCGCGGCUUAUCAGCCUGUUUGUGGGGUAGUGGCUUACCAAGGCUUUGACGGGUAGCCGGCCUGAGAGGGUGACCGGCCACAUUGGGACUGAGAUACGGCCCAGACUGCUACGGGAGGCAGCAGAGGAGAAUAUUGCACAAUGGGAGGAGGCCUGAUGCAGCAACGCCACGUGCGGGAGAACGGCCUUCGGGUAGUAAACCGCUUUCGCCUGUGACGAAGCGUGAGUGACGGUAAUGGGUAAAGAAGCGCCGGCUAACUACGUG